RNAcentral lists this long non-coding RNA (402 nucleotides) under Eucalyptus grandis. RNAcentral describes it as "long non-coding RNA (EGRA_LNC001655)". Lineage: Eukaryota; Viridiplantae; Streptophyta; Magnoliopsida; Myrtales; Myrtaceae. The record is from RNAcentral.
ACAAAUAUUCACCAAAAGGAAAGGCCAACAUCACAGCUAUAACACAUCAACAACCGGGAAACAAAGAAAAUGUGCACAUCCAAUGUCACCAACCCGUUGAUUCCGAUGGGGAACAUGCUUGGUAGUCAACGGGAGGCCUCCUUUAAUGAACACAAACAGGCUUAUGUGAGUUCAGAGUAGCUCAGAUUCGGAAUGGACUAUGCUAGCUUGGUUUAGGCAUUUUGACAAACAUAUGGCAGUCAGUUCGGGUACACAAUACAGAGACGGGUUUGCACAAGUUUGGUUCAAGCAUUUCUUCGAGCAUGUGGUGGGCACCGUAACCGAGGCGAUUGAGGCUCGAGCUUGCAACGACAUUCAGCACAAAUCAGUAAAUAAACACAUCACCGAGACUGAGCAAGGCUC